RNAcentral lists this long non-coding RNA (2146 nucleotides) under Canis lupus familiaris (dog). Its description in RNAcentral is "lncRNA (ENSCAFG00845000146.1)". Lineage: Eukaryota; Metazoa; Chordata; Mammalia; Carnivora; Canidae. The record is from RNAcentral.
UUUCUGUUGGCUCUUAAUUAUUCGAUAUUGUAAUUAUUUACCUCUCUUUUCCCCAUAUUAUAAGCUCCUUGAAGAUACAGAUAGUGUCUUUUAUCCCUAUCAACUGGAUACUUAGCACAGUAUUUGACACAUCCCAGGUGUUUAGUAAAUAGAGUGCCAAUGUGUUUUUAAGCUGUAAAAACGUAUUUAACAGUUUGAUAUUAUUAUUCUUUCUGCCCUCAUUCUUUUAAUUUUGUUUAAUAUUUUCUCAUACUUAAUAUCUGUUCUUACCACUAAUGUAUUAAGAGGCAUGUAUAAUUAGACAGUAUAAAGGCAAAAAAUUUCAGAAAAGAAUAGAUUUUUACACAUGAUAGUUUUGUUCUUGGACAGCAAAUAAAAUAAACCCUGAUACCCUGAUAGGUCACAAGUGCUCUAGACUUUGGCAUCAUUUGUUGUUAAUAUGAAGCUAAGGAAUCCUUUGUAGAGAUGCUAAGAAACCUUAUGAGAGAAUUGGGGUUUGUAAAAUGACAGUGGUCUAGAAUUCUGGGACAUUUUUUAGUUGUCUAGUUAAAGGGAUAUGGCCACAAAGUUAUCUCUGAUGGUUUAGCUUUUUUAUCUCUUUAAUUCAGGGGGAAAGGGGCUGAUAUGAGAAGAUUUCUAUAAUUCUUUUCAAGGUCAACAAUGCUUUGACAGCCCCCUCCUUCUUGAACCUAGAUCCUAUCAGUCCAGUCUUCACCAUAUGACCAUAUUUACAUUUCCUUUUAAAAUGUUUUUAUUCUAUUGAGGGCAGCGCGGGUGGCUCAGCGGUUUAGUGUUGCCUUCAGUCCAGGGCCUGAUCCUGGAGACUUGGGAUUGAGUCCUACGUCAGGCUCCCUGCAUGGAGCCUGCUUUCCCUCUGCCUGUGUCUCUGCCUCUCUCUCUCUCUCUCUGUGUCUCUCAUGAGUAAAUAAAGAAAAUCUUAAAAAAAAAAAAAAACAAAAACAACAAAACCAAAACCAACAACAACAACAAAAUAAAAUGUUUUUGUUCUGUUGAGUUUGGCUGUGUAUAGAAGUCUCUGAUGAAAAUUGCUCCACAGUUUUCUAGAACUCGGUAUUACCAUUGAGAAAGUUCAUGUGUUUUAGCAAAAUGAUAGAGGAGACUGAGAAAAAGAUAUGGGAUCCCAGAGAAAGGAGAUCCAACGUAGAGGACCAGCAAGGAGAAGGCGUAGGAUAACAGUUAUGUACUAGGCCUAGACACAGAAACCAGGCUGGGUGGGGGUGGGAGUGGGGAGGGCCCCAGAAAAAAAAAUGAAGCUAGUAUUAGUAGGUUUGGGAAAUUCUUGCAGUAUUUGUUAAAAUUAUUGAUAAGCAUGAGACAGAUCUUUUGAACAUUUGAAAAAAUAAUAGUGACACAGAUAUAAAGAAGAGGAGAAAAGAAUAGGCAGUCGUUAAUCCAGAAAAACAAAACUAUUCUGGAAAACAAGAAUUAGAAUCUUGAUGUACAACUUUGCUUAUGAUAGGAAAUCAACAUUCAUUCAUAAUAAGGUAUGUGUUGACUAUUCUUUUAGUGAAAGUUGAAAUAGAACUGUGUUGAGAGGGUGAAGGAGUAGAGAAUGGGUGGGGAUAUUUAGAGAUAAUUAAAUCCUCAACUACUGUACUGGGAAGUCAAGUGCUAAUAUCUAAAAUAGAUAUUUCAUGGGGCGCCUAGGUGGCUCAGUUGGCUAAAUGUCUGCCUUCAGCUCAGCUCAUGAUCCCAGGGGUUUGUGAUCGAGCCCCACAUGGGGCUCUCGGCUCCGUGAGGAGUCUGCCUCUCCCUUUCACUCUUCCUCUGAGCUGUCUCUCAAAUAAAUAAAUAAAAUCUUUAAAAAAUAGAUUUUUGAGGAAAUAUCUGUGUAAGCGUAUUACUUAGAAAUAUAUGAGCAGGUACUUGAAGAAAGAACUUCUGGGGGUGCUUUUGGGUAUUGGGUUUUGGGGGGGACAAGGCACUGCUUUUCCAUUUAUUAUAAGCUUUCCAGUACUGUAUUGUUUUUUUUUUUUAAUUUAUUUUUUAUUGGUGUUCAAUUUGCCAACAUAUAGAAUAACACCCAGUUCUGGCACCUAUAUUUCUGAUUGUGUUUUCAUAGGAUCAAGAAAGUGGAAAUCCUUUAGUGCAGGAUUUUUCAGAACUCUGGUCUUCUGAAGCUUUU